GAUGAACGCUGGCGGCGUGCCUAAUACAUGCAAGUCGAGCGAACGGACGAGAAGCUUGCUUCUCUGAUGUUAGCGGCGGACGGGUGAGUAACACGUGGAUAACCUACCUAUAAGACUGGGAUAACUUCGGGAAACCGGAGCUAAUACCGGAUAAUAUUUUGAACCGCAUGGUUCAAAAGUGAAAGACGGUCUUGCUGUCACUUAUAGAUGGAUCCGCGCUGCAUUAGCUAGUUGGUAAGGUAACGGCUUACCAAGGCAACGAUGCAUAGCCGACCUGAGAGGAUGAUCGGCCACACUGGAACUGAGACACGGUCCAGACUCCUACGGGAGGCAGCAGUAGGGAAUAUUCCGCAAUGGGCGAAAGCCUGACGGAGCAACGCCGCGUGAGUGAUGAAGGUCUUCGGAUCGUAAAACUCUGUUAUUAGGGAAGAACAUAUGUGUAAGUAACUGUGCACAUCUUGACGGUACCUAAUCAGAAAGCCACGGCUAACUACGUG
Molecule: ribosomal RNA, 497 nt
Filed under: uncultured bacterium
Lineage: Bacteria
Description: partial 16S ribosomal RNA
Rfam family: Bacterial small subunit ribosomal RNA
Source: RNAcentral